Molecule: non-coding RNA, 1986 nt
Organism: Lipotes vexillifer (Yangtze River dolphin)
Lineage: Eukaryota; Metazoa; Chordata; Mammalia; Artiodactyla; Lipotidae
Source: RefSeq, a predicted model, not a curated record
AUGUCCGCUGCAAGGGAAGUGGCCAUAGGCAUCGACCUGGGCACCACAUACUCAUGCGUGGGCAUGUUCCAGCAAGGCCGGGUGGAGAUCCUCGCCGACGACCAGGGCAACCGCACCACCCCCAGCUACUUGACUUUCACCGACACCGAGCGUCGGGUGGGCGAUGCGGCCAAGAGCCAGGCGGCUCUGAACCCACACAACACAGUGUUCCACGCCAAGUGACUGAUCGGGCGCAAGUUCGCAGACCCCACUGUGCAGUCGGACAUGAAGCACUGGCCCUUCCAGGUGGUGAGCGAGGGCGGCAAGCCCAAGGUGCGCGUGUCCUUCCGUGGGGAGGACAAGGCGUUCUACACACCGAGGAGAUCUCGUCCAUGGUGCUGAGCAAGAUGGAGACAGCGGAGGCAUACCUGGGCCAGCCCCUGAGGCACGCUGUAAUCACGGUGCCCUCCUACUUCAGCGACUCCCAGCGUCAGGCCACCAAGGACGCGGGUGCCACCGCGGGGCUCAACAUGCUGAGGGUCAUCAACCAGCCCACGGCGGCUGUCACGGCCUAUGGCCUGGACCGGCAGGGCGCCGGAGAGCGCAACGUGCUCAUUUUCGACUUGGGUGGGGGCACCUUCCACGUGUCGGUCCUCACUGUCGACGCCGGUGUCUUUGAGGUGAAGGCCACGGCUGGAGACACUCAUCCGGGUGGAGAGGACUUCGACAACCGGCUGUGAACCACUUCUUGGAGGAGUUCCGGCGGAAGCACGGGAAGGACUUACGCAGGAACAAGCGGGUCCUGCGCAGGCUCUGCACAGCCUCUGAGCGCGCCAAGCGCACCCUGCCCUCCAGCACCCAGGCCACUCUGGAGAUCGAUUCCCUGUUUGAGGGCGUAGACUUAUGCACUUCCAUCACUCGAGCCCGCUUUGAAGAACUGUGCUUGGACCUCUUUUGCAGCACCCUGGAGCCGCUGGAGAAGGCCCAGAUCCGUGGCACUGUCCUAGUGGGUGGCUCUACCCGCAUCCCCAAGGUACAAAAAUUCCUGCAGGACGUCUUCAAUGGCAGGGAGCUGAACAAGAGCAUCGACCCGGAUGAGGCUGUGGCUUAUGGGGCUGCUGUGCAGGCAGCAGUGUUGAUGGGGGACAAGUGUGAGAAGGUGCAGGACCUCCUGCUGCUGGAUAUGGCUCCCCUGUCCCUGGGGCUGAAGACAGCUGGUGGGGUGAUGACUACGCUGAUCCAGAGGAAUGCCACCAUCCCGACCAAGCAGACCCAGACUUUUCACUACCUAUUCAGACAACCAGCCUGGGGUCCUGAUCCAGGUGUAUGAGGGUGAGAGGGCCAUGACUAGGGACAGCAACCGGCUGGGAUGCUUUGAGCUCAGUGGCAUCCCUCCUGCCCCACGUGGAGUCCCCCAGAUCGAGGUGACUUUUGACAUUGAUGCCGGUGGCAUCCUGAGUGUGACAGCCACUGACAGGAGCACAGGCAAAGCUAACAAGAUCGCCAUCACCAAUGACAAGGGCCGGCUGAGCAAGGAGGAAGUGGGGAAGAUGGUUUGUGAGGCUGAACAGUACAAGGAUGUUCAGGAUGAGGAUGAGGCCCAGAGGGACAGGGUGGCUGCCAAAAACUCUCUGGAGGCCUAUGUCUUCCAUGUGAAGAGCUCUUUGCAAGAGGAGAGACUUAGAGAUAAGAUUCCUGAAGAGGACGGGUGCAAAGUACAAGACAAGUGUCAGGAAGUCCUUGCUUGGCUGGAGCACAACCGGUUGGCAGAGAAAGAGGAAUAUGAGCAUCAGAAGGGGGAGCUGGAGCAUAUCUGUGGCCCCAUCUUCUCCAGGCUCUACGGGGGGUCUGGUGUCCCUGGCGGUAGCAGUUGUGGAUCUCAAGCCCGACAGGGAGCCCCCGGUACUGGCCCUGUCAUUGAGGAAGUCGAUUAAAUGGCCCCUCCUGGCAAGGCAGCUGUGACUGUAAGGGCUGGGCUUGUGGACUUUCUAGACUGUCUACUAUGAU